RNAcentral lists this ribosomal RNA (1500 nucleotides) under Enterobacter cloacae. Its description in RNAcentral is "bacterial SSU rRNA". It matches the Rfam family "Bacterial small subunit ribosomal RNA". The record is from RNAcentral. Lineage: Bacteria; Pseudomonadati; Pseudomonadota; Gammaproteobacteria; Enterobacterales; Enterobacteriaceae.
GGCUCAGAUUGAACGCUGGCGGCAGGCCUAACACAUGCAAGUCGAACGGUAGCACAGAGAGCUUGCUCUCGGGUGACGAGUGGCGGACGGGUGAGUAAUGUCUGGGAAACUGCCUGAUGGAGGGGGAUAACUACUGGAAACGGUAGCUAAUACCGCAUAACGUCGCAAGACCAAAGAGGGGGACCUUCGGGCCUCUUGCCAUCAGAUGUGCCCAGAUGGGAUUAGCUAGUAGGUGGGGUAACGGCUCACCUAGGCGACGAUCCCUAGCUGGUCUGAGAGGAUGACCAGCCACACUGGAACUGAGACACGGUCCAGACUCCUACGGGAGGCAGCAGUGGGGAAUAUUGCACAAUGGGCGCAAGCCUGAUGCAGCCAUGCCGCGUGUAUGAAGAAGGCCUUCGGGUUGUAAAGUACUUUCAGCGGGGAGGAAGGUGUUGUGGUUAAUAACCACAGCAAUUGACGUUACCCGCAGAAGAAGCACCGGCUAACUCCGUGCCAGCAGCCGCGGUAAUACGGAGGGUGCAAGCGUUAAUCGGAAUUACUGGGCGUAAAGCGCACGCAGGCGGUCUGUCAAGUCGGAUGUGAAAUCCCCGGGCUCAACCUGGGAACUGCAUUCGAAACUGGCAGGCUAGAGUCUUGUAGAGGGGGGUAGAAUUCCAGGUGUAGCGGUGAAAUGCGUAGAGAUCUGGAGGAAUACCGGUGGCGAAGGCGGCCCCCUGGACAAAGACUGACGCUCAGGUGCGAAAGCGUGGGGAGCAAACAGGAUUAGAUACCCUGGUAGUCCACGCAACGUAAGACUGCGAUGUCGAUUUGGAGGUUGUGCCCUUGAGGCGUGGCUUCCGGAGCUAACGCGUUAAAUCGACCGCCUGGGGAGUACGGCCGCAAUUGUUAAAACUCAAAUGAAUUGACGGGGGCCCGCACAAGCGGUGGAGCAUGUGGUUUAAUUCGAUGCAACGCGAAGAACCUUACCUGGUCUUGACAUCCACAGAACUUAGCAGAGAUGCUUUGGUGCCUUCGGGAACUGUGAGACAGGUGCUGCAUGGCUGUCGUCAGCUCGUGUUGUGAAAUGUUGGGUUAAGUCCCGCAACGAGCGCAACCCUUAUCCUUUGUUGCCAGCGGUUAGGCCGGGAACUCAAAGGAGACUGCCAGUGAUAAACUGGAGGAAGGUGGGGAUGACGUCAAGUCAUCAUGGCCCUUACGACCAGGGCUACACACGUGCUACAAUGGCGCAUACAAAGAGAAGCGACCUCGCGAGAGCAAGCGGACCUCAUAAAGUGCGUCGUAGUCCGGAUUGGAGUCUGCAACUCGACUCCAUGAAGUCGGAAUCGCUAGUAAUCGUAGAUCAGAAUGCUACGGUGAAUACGUUCCCGGGCCUUGUACACACCGCCCGUCACACCAUGGGAGUGGGUUGCAAAAGAAGUAGGUAGCUUAACCUUCGGGAGGGCGCUUACCACUUUGUGAUUCAUGACUGGGGUGAAGUCGUAACAGGGAAACCCGUAA